This is a non-coding RNA of Beta vulgaris subsp. vulgaris (sugar beet), 274 nucleotides long. The record is from Rfam. NCBI's taxonomy places the organism in Eukaryota, Viridiplantae, Streptophyta, Magnoliopsida, Caryophyllales, Amaranthaceae.
CUGACAUGUAUACGUGUCAACGGGUGAGUAAACCCGUGCGCAAGGAAGCUAAUUAGCGGGAUCCCCUCGCGGGUGCACUGCCGACCGACCUUGAUCUUUUGAGAAGAGUUCGAGUGUGAGCAUACCUGUCGGGAACCGGAACAUGGUGAGUUAUGCCUGAGCGGGGAGAAGCCAGAGGAAAUAUGGUGGAGAUCCAAAGCGAUACUAACGUGCAUAUCAUUCGUCUGAGUUGGGCAUAGGGGGCGAAAGACUAAUCAAAGCCUCUAGUAGCUGG